This 315-nucleotide ribosomal RNA is filed under the name Triticum aestivum (bread wheat). RNAcentral's name for it is "partial small subunit ribosomal RNA". The record is from RNAcentral. Lineage: Eukaryota; Viridiplantae; Streptophyta; Magnoliopsida; Poales; Poaceae.
AUGCCGAGAAGGUGGCAGGUCUGGGGCCGGCCCGGCGGUAGCCAAGUCUGGGUCCCCGCCCCCGACCCUGAUGCGCCGCCCCCGCCACCGCCCGCCGCAGCCCCGCCUCUUCCUCCGCCGGGGCACGCCGCGGGGACAGCCGCCGCUUCAUUCGAGGAUGCGCCGGUCAAAGACUUGACUGGCGCCUCUCCUGCGUCGUCAUUUCUCCGAUCCAAAACCCUAGGCCGGGGUGCUGCCGACGGAUGCCGCAUCGAGUCCAUGGCCGACCUCCUCGUCCAAGCUGAGGAACCUCCUGUGGGCUACUUCCAAGCAUGA